GAUGAACGCUGGCGGCGUGCCUAAUACAUGCAAGUCGAGCGAACAGACGAGGAGCUUGCUCCUCUGACGUUAGCGGCGGACGGGUGAGUAACACGUGGAUAACCUACCUAUAAGACUGGGAUAACUUCGGGAAACCGGAGCUAAUACCGGAUAACAUGUUGAACCGCAUGGUUCAACAGUGAAAGACGGUCCUGCUGUCACUUAUAGAUGGAUCCGCGCCGCAUUAGCUAGUUGGUAAGGUAACGGCUUACCAAGGCAACGAUGCGUAGCCGACCUGAGAGGGUGAUCGGCCACACUGGAACUGAGACACGGUCCAGACUCCUACGGGAGGCAGCAGUAGGGAAUCUUCCGCAAUGGGCGAAGGCCUGACGGAGCAACGCCGCGUGAGUGAAGAAGGUCUUCGGAUCGUAAAACUCUGUUAUUAGGGAAGAACAAAUGUGUAAGUAACUAUGCACGUCUUGACGGUACCUAAUCAGAAAGCCACGGCUAACUACGUG
RNAcentral lists this ribosomal RNA (497 nucleotides) under uncultured bacterium. RNAcentral describes it as "partial 16S ribosomal RNA". It matches the Rfam family "Bacterial small subunit ribosomal RNA", at positions 28 to 507 of the family's 1533-position model. The record is from RNAcentral.